RNAcentral lists this ribosomal RNA (305 nucleotides) under uncultured bacterium. RNAcentral describes it as "bacterial SSU rRNA". It matches the Rfam family "Bacterial small subunit ribosomal RNA", at positions 333 to 635 of the family's 1533-position model. The record is from RNAcentral.
CCGGCCCUACGGGGCGCAGCAGUGAGGAAUAUUGGUCAAUGGGCGGAAGCCUGAACCAGCCAAGUCGCGUGAGGGAAUAAGGCCCUACGGGUCGUAAACCUCUUUUGCCGGGGAGCAAGGGCCGGGACGAGUCCCGGUCCGGAGAGUACCCGGAGAAAAAGCAUCGGCUAACUCCGUGCCAGCAGCCGCGGUAAUAAGGAGGAUGCGAGCGUUAUCCGGAUUUAUUGGGAUUAAAGGGUGCGUAGGCGGGCUUUUAAGUCAGCGGUAAAAAUUCGGGGCUCAACCCCGUCCGGCCGUUGAAACUG